Molecule: ribosomal RNA, 253 nt
Filed under: uncultured bacterium
Lineage: Bacteria
Description: partial 16S ribosomal RNA
Rfam family: Bacterial small subunit ribosomal RNA
Source: RNAcentral
UACGUAGGGUGCGAGCGUUGUCCGGAAUUAUUGGGCGUAAAGGGCUCGUAGGCGGUUUGUCGCGUCGGGAGUGAAAACACCGGGCUUAACUCGGUGCUUGCUUUCGAUACGGGCAGACUAGAGGCAUGCAGGGGAGAACGGAAUUCCUGGUGUAGCGGUGAAAUGCGCAGAUAUCAGGAGGAACACCAACGGCGAAGGCAGCACUCUGGGCCGGUACUGACGCUGAGGAGCGAAAGCGUGGGGAGCAAACAGG